CCUACGGGUGGCAGCAGUGAGGAAUAUUGGUCAAUGGACGAGAGUCUGAACCAGCCAAGUAGCGUGAAGGAUGACUGCCCUAUGGGUUGUAAACUUCUUUUAUAUGGGAAUAAAAUGUUCCACGUGUGGGCGUUUGUAUGUACCAUAUGAAUAAGGAUCGGCUAACUCCGUGCCAGCAGCCGCGGUAAUACGGAGGAUCCGAGCGUUAUCCGGAUUUAUUGGGUUUAAAGGGAGCGUAGGUGGAUUGUUAAGUCAGUUGUGAAAGUUUGCGGCUCAACCGUAAAAUUGCAGUUGAUACUGGCAGUCUAGAGUACAGUAGAGGUAGGCGGAAUGCGUGGUGUAGCGGUGAAAUGCUUAGAGAUCACGAAGAACUCCGAUUGCGAAGGCAGCUCACUGAACUGCAACUGACACUGAGGCACGAAAGUGUGGGUAUCAAACAGGAUUAGAUACCCUGGUAGUC
Molecule: ribosomal RNA, 460 nt
Filed under: uncultured bacterium
Lineage: Bacteria
Description: partial 16S ribosomal RNA
Rfam family: Bacterial small subunit ribosomal RNA
Source: RNAcentral